GAGGGUACAGCUCAGUGGUAGAGCACCUGCUUGAUGUGCACGAGGUCCUGGGUUCAGUCCCUGGUACCUCUA
RNAcentral lists this transfer RNA (72 nucleotides) under Camelus ferus (Wild Bactrian camel). It matches the Rfam family "tRNA". Rfam says of the family: Transfer RNA (tRNA) molecules are approximately 80 nucleotides in length. Lineage: Eukaryota; Metazoa; Chordata; Mammalia; Artiodactyla; Camelidae. The record is from Rfam by way of RNAcentral.